GACGAACGCUGGCGGCGUGCUUAACACAUGCAAGUCGAGCGGUAAGGCCCUUUCGGGGGUACACGAGCGGCGAACGGGUGAGUAACACGUGGGUGACCUGCCCUCAGCUCUGGGAUAAGCCUGGGAAACCGGGUCUAAUACUGGAUAUGACUCCAUGACGCAUGUUGUGGGGUGGAAAGCCUUGUGCGGCUGAGGAUGGGCCCGCGGCCUAUCAGCUUGUUGGUGGGGUGANGGCCUACCAAGGCGACGACGGGUAGCCGGCCUGAGAGGGCGACCGGCCACACUGGGACUGAGACACGGCCCAGACUCCUACGGGA
RNAcentral lists this ribosomal RNA (317 nucleotides) under uncultured bacterium. RNAcentral's name for it is "bacterial SSU rRNA". It matches the Rfam family "Bacterial small subunit ribosomal RNA", at positions 28 to 346 of the family's 1533-position model. The record is from RNAcentral.